CAGUAGCCGCGGUAAUACGAAGGGUGCAAGCGUUAAUCGGAAUUACUGGGCGUAAAGCGUGCGUAGGCGGUGAGUUAAGUCUGCUGUGAAAUCCCCGGGCUCAACCUGGGAAUGGCAGUGGAUACUGGCUCGCUAGAGUGUGUCAGAGGAUGGUGGAAUUCCCGGUGUAGCAGUGAAAUGCGUAGAGAUCGGAAGGAACAUCUGUGGCGAAGGCGACUAUCUGGGCCAACACUGACACUGAGGCACGAAAGCGUGGGGAGCAAACAGGAUUAGAUACCCGUGUAGUCCCUGUCUCUUAUAC
Molecule: ribosomal RNA, 301 nt
Filed under: uncultured bacterium
Lineage: Bacteria
Description: partial 16S ribosomal RNA
Rfam family: Bacterial small subunit ribosomal RNA
Source: RNAcentral